Non-coding RNA from Vicugna pacos (alpaca), 1737 nucleotides. Lineage: Eukaryota; Metazoa; Chordata; Mammalia; Artiodactyla; Camelidae. The record is from RefSeq and is a predicted model, not a curated record.
UCUGCAUCAGAAGCAAAAACGUCCACUGUCCCUGCUUUCAACUGUCCCCUGCUGGCCGGUUCAGAGCCUGGCGUCCUCUCAGGUGACACCAAAGAGCCUGUGGCCUGGGAAGCUCAGAGAUUUAUUCGAUGUUGCCACAAGGCAGCUGUGGCUAGCACUGCAGAUCAAGACUUCGGGUAUUUCAUGUUCUUUAUUUUUCCAGACAAUCAAAGACUUUUAACUGACUAUUUGCUUCAUACCAGGAAACCCUGAGGCCUCCACCCUGGUGUCCUGAGGACCCUCCUCCUGUUAUGGAGUCCAAGAAAAGAUGAUGUCCUGUCUGACCCGCUGGUUGCAGAGGAAUGAGAGACUCAUGGAGCCAGCCUGGACCAAACCCACAGCCUGGAGCCAAGCCUAGCCCAGCCCAACCAAGAUCGGCAGAGCCACAGCUGUCAAGCCACAGACACGGGCAAAAAUAAAUGAUUAUGGCUUUAAGCCACUGAGUUUGGGUUGGUGUGUCGUGCAGCAGCGUUAUCGGAUGGAUGACUGACACAUCCUGUCAUUCUCUUGCUGUGUGAUCUUGUGCCUGUCACGUUCUUCUCUGGGUUUCAGUUUCUUUAAAGGUGGCAUGAAAGAGUUGAUCACUGAGUGAUUUCUCAGCUCUCUUCCAAUACUAAGACUCUGGAUUGCAAAACAGGGUUUGGGGGCGAGAGGGGAGGAGAGUGUUCCAGAAUAAAAUCCCAAUGCACUGGUGCAAAGAAGGCUAUGCAGGAAAGGCGAUGUGAGGGGACAGGUUUAUCUCACUGGAGCAGGUGGUCUGAGCAGGCAGGCGGGGGUGGCUUGGCCAUCGGGGGCUGAUGCAGGAAUGUUUGGGUCUGGGCUGCCGGAGCUGCACCUGUCCGUCCUCCACUGCUUCUGAACCUCUGGUGGAUUAGCUUCUGACCCACCGUGCUGCUGAAACUGCCUUCUCAGUUAUGACUCUCAUCAACAAAUCCCCACUUUGGCCCAUAGACUCCCAGAACGUGAUGCCUCCUUCCCACCCUCUUUCCUGGCUUCUGUGCCUCCUGGUCUUCGGGCCCUCGCAUCUCCAUCUGCCCACUUGGUUUCUGUCUUCUUCUCUGAGUCUACUCUGAAGGUGUCCCUCAAGCUUCCUUCCUCAGCUUCUUCUUCUCAGCUUAGUAAUGAGUGGACUUCAGGGAUCUGGACCCCAAGUGAGGAACCUGGGUACAUAGGUCAGGGUUCCAGGCAAAGCAGGCACAGGGCAUGAGAAACAAGAUCUUAAUACUGCCGAAAAGCAAGUGACAGCUUGGCAUGAACACUAAGGGACCCAGUGCUGGACUGAAAGAACUAUUAUGUGUUAUAGCUCCACAUCUACUCGCAGCUCCAGCGUGACCAUUCCUACCUCAUAUAUUCUGUACUCAUGGCUGCAAUAGAUGGUCUGAGCAGGGGUGGCCAAACCUCUCAGGCCACCUUAAAGCAGAGGCGGGCAGUCUCCAUCUCUCCUCUGUUCAGCACAGGAUGGUCCUCAAAUGCUCUUUUUUCAGUAGACUUAUUCUUUCCUUUCCCUCUAGCAUGAGUACCCUCUCACUGCUGGCCUCUCCCACUGUCCUGUGAAUUCUUAGCACAUCCUGGACCGCAGCCUAUGGGGUGAUGGAUGCUCCGCUAUUCAUCUUGCAAGUAACCUUUGCCUUGGAUUGUGAUUUUGCUUGAAGAGUGUUCUUGCUGCUCUUCUAAGUCCCACCUGCCUGGGUUUGGAAA